GGGGAUGUAAGCUUUGACAGAAGAACUUUUAUAAAAUAAGCAAACCGAGUAUUCUCAAAUCUCGUAAAACUUUGAGAAAAUCUAAUAAGUGUCAACUUAUUUAAAAAACCAGCAUUAGCAUACGCUUAAUGCUCAUCCUCUCUGCUAAUUCCUAAUAAGCAGAAUAGGGUGUCAUAUAUUAGGACAACUUAGUUCUUUUGCCUCAAAGAACUAUAGUAAAUUAUGAGGCUAGGGGUGUUAGAUUUUUGUCUGUUCUCUAUUUAACAUCUAACUUGCCCGCCAAAGCCUUUGGUGAAGGCGGGAAACCGAAACAGACUAAGUUUGUAGAAUUAUUUUGUAAAAUCUUUUGGACGGGAGUUCAAUCUCCCCAUCUCCACUA
This 379-nucleotide transfer-messenger RNA is filed under the name Patescibacteria group bacterium. It matches the Rfam family "transfer-messenger RNA". From Rfam's summary of the family: Bacterial tmRNA, also known as 10Sa RNA or SsrA, is named for its dual tRNA and mRNA-like properties. Its role is to liberate the mRNA from a stalled ribosome. The record is from RNAcentral. RNAcentral also lists the same sequence under 2 other names.